GUGGCGAACGGGUGAGUAAUACAUAAGCAACCUGCCUCAAUGCCUGGGAUAACUGAUGGAAACGUCAGCUAAUACCGGAUAGGUUAAGUCAAGACAUCUUGAUUUAUUAAAGAUGGGAUACAUCACAAUGAGAUGGGCUUAUGGCGCAUUAGUUAGUUGGUGAGGUAACGGCUCACCAAGACGAUGAUGCGUAGCCGACCUGAGAGGGUGACCGGCCACACUGGGACUGAGACACGGCCCAG
This 242-nucleotide ribosomal RNA is filed under the name uncultured bacterium. RNAcentral describes it as "partial 16S ribosomal RNA". It matches the Rfam family "Bacterial small subunit ribosomal RNA", at positions 95 to 334 of the family's 1533-position model. The record is from RNAcentral.